Molecule: long non-coding RNA, 4172 nt
Filed under: Brassica napus (rape)
Lineage: Eukaryota; Viridiplantae; Streptophyta; Magnoliopsida; Brassicales; Brassicaceae
Description: long non-coding RNA (BNAP_LNC007192)
Source: RNAcentral
UGGAUCAUCCGUGACAUUGGUGACAAGACAGCUCUCGUUUCACACAUUAAUUUGGAAAUAUAAAGUCAUGAUCGUGGUUACUCGUGACUGAGUAUGGGAUGAGUCAGCCAACAAUUUUUGUAUAGUUUGGCAAAAAGGUCCAAAGUCCAUUUGUUUGUUUAGAGAGUAUCAUGUGUAAGAUUUUGCAAGGAAUGAUGUUGCAUUUCGUUGUUUACAUGGUGCAUAAAUCUCUUUUGAUAAGCCAUAUCAUUUAUCUCUCACACACACAUACACAUUAAUAUAUAAAGCUACAAGUAUAUGAGAUCCUUUGUUUCAGUCUCAGAAACAAGAACAUGCUUUUCCAGGAAUUUUACCGGUUUUACGUACAAUACCGGCUCUCUCCUUCACCUUCAACUCUUCGUUCUGCCUUUGUUUCUCUGCCUGAGCUCUGGCUCCGGCAGCAAUAUGUUCGAUGUAUUCCAUGUCUUCUCUAAAUCUCUGCAAUCCUCUCUUUCUCCUCUGUUCUUGUUCGCUCUGCUGUUUCAUGUACCAACUAUGGUUAGAUAAAACACAUUUUCAGACUAUCAUGAGAUUAGACUGAACAAAGUCAAAUAACAUUAUCAACCUCAGAUUUGUCCAGCUUCCUGUUACGUGAAACGUAACGAGUCUGGUCAAAAGCAAAUGAUCUCAAGAAAACAAGAUAAUAUUCAUAGAAUUAAAGAACUGAGUACAAGGUUCAGAGACGUUCAUGGCGUCUCCUUUCUCUCUUUAACCACUAAAACCCAGAUACCCCCUUUCCCAAAACCCUACAGCUCAUAUAUAGAUAAAGCAUAAAGUUAAAGCAACUAAACCAUGGUUACUCUUUUAUUAAACUAGAGUUACUUCUACUUAUUCUCUUUUAACCCAUGCCCACACGUAUCACUUCCUUCUAGCUUUGUCCCUCUUCUUGGCUUCCCAUAAAUCGAUCUUUCUGUUUAACUUCUCGUACCUGAGCAUGUGUUACUUCCCCCUUUGAAUUCAACCUUGUCCUCAAGGUUGAAGCUAAAUGACAGCUUUUGGUAGCAACCUUCCAAUUCCAUAAGCAUUUAUCAUCCUGAAGAUCCCCAUGACCAACAGUGCCUUCUGCCAACUCUCGUUCUCUAUAUGUUCACUGUGUAAGUUGCAGUAACAGUCCAAAGCCUUGAACUGGCUCCAAGCCUGAGUAAAGUAAGCCUUUUCCCACUCCAUGGCUUUCUCCAGAUUAAGGCAGAACCUCAUCUCUCUAUUCAGCUCUUCCUCUUGCCUAAGCAUGCUCUGUAGUUGCUGUUUUCUCUCACCAAAUAACAUGAAUUCUAAACGCAGUAGAUCACUUUCUUUUUCAUUGUGUCUCAGCGAGCUGUAACUUCCCCUGUAACUCCAACACCCAUCACAACACUGUUUGAGCAGCUUGCAAGUCAUCUCCGGUGGUCUUGGCAAUUGAGACAUCUCAUGCGUGGACUGAGGCAGAACAGAUCCAAGGAUUCCAAAGAAACUUUUAUUUCCUGCAUCUUCGACCCUUUCACUACUACUCUGGAGCAUAUUUUCUGUGUCAACUUGUGUAACAGCUACUCCUCCUGGUUCCCAUACCCUUCUAGCCAAAGAGACACUGAAACAUAACUCCCACCUGACCUUAUCAUGAUUGUUUCCUAAUAGCACAUAUCGCCUUGUUAGUGGUGUUGAGAUGUUCUUGCCUUUGUCUUGCCACUUUUCCAUCAACUUGAACAAGUUUACAUCUUUGAAAACUUCUAUCUCCAUCUUGUUCAGAUUCAAUGAUGUCUCGUCGUAUAGUUCAACAGCUUCAGGUCUCCUUAACCAUUUCACAGAAAUGACAACGUAAUUUUUCAUCCCAACCAAGCAGCACGUUUCUCCAAAUUCUUUUCUUGAAGUGUUUUUCUUGUGGACAAUGACAAGAGUGAAAUCAUGGUCAGCCUUGGCCAGUUUAGAUGCAAAGCACUUCCUGUAAAUGAAAAUAGUUGCAGUCCUUGGAAGCAAGCAUUUAUGUCCAAGGCUGUGACUUUCUCCACUAAACUCCAUCAUCGAAUAAGUAUUAGUGGCAAGGUCAAGUAUACUCAGACUAGUUCUGGCCUUGCCUCUUGGACCAGACCAUGAAUCCUCCCACACCGAUUGAAAUCCAAGACCGGCUGUAUGAGAUGCUUGAGAAUAUCCCUCACCGUUCAGCCAAGCUCUACCGCCGCCACCAAUAGAACUCUGCUCAUCGCAUCCUCUAGUUGUAAUUCCCGGCCCACUGUGGCAGCAGGUACCUAGUAACCCAUUUCCUUGCGUGUAAUCCUGCUGUAGAUUCUUCCUGUCCGUAAAAUAAGCCAAUCUAAUUCCCUCGAGUGGUCCUUUUGGACGCAGAUUCUGAUGUGGAAGACGAGAUUCCCGUUUUGAUCUUUCCUCCCUACGUCUACUUUCAAGGCUCACAUAGACUAACAAGUUCAACCCAUCUCCUACUUUUACCUCCACUGGAAACUCCCCCGGAAUGUAAAUGGUUUCUUGGUUUUCCCACUGAGCUUGUUUCUGGAGUCCUACUCCUGGCUUCCAAUAUCUUAUCACUGCACAGUCUCGAUCGAGAUAUGAUCCACCUGGAUCCCAUUCAAAACAAAUCACAGAUUCAGAUCCAUCUUUUCUCUGCAGAAUUGGAGACCAUGUCUUAACAGCAGCACUAACAGUGAUCAACUUUUUCUCCAUAUGCUGCCAUUGAUUCUUUCCGAAACACGCUUGGCCUCGAUCCCACACCUUUAACUCACGCCGAAAACUCCAUUUCUCAGAGAAGUUUAACCAAAUUUCCAGAUUGGCUUUUGGGCGCUUCAACCAUUCCAACAAAAACUUCAUCAAAGCUAUUCUAACAAGCAAGCUGAGCAUUUCAUCAGUCAUCCGCCCUAACCUCGACCUUGUUCUUUUUCUCACCCUGCUAGCAGUCAAUAUCACCAAAACAUUUAGUUUGAUCAUCUUCCUCUGCUUGUUAUGCUUCUGUCUGUACUUGCGUUUCAUCCAUUUUGCAAGCUUCUUCAGCACACUCUUGCAUUCCUGUUUCAGCUUCUCUAGCUUCAGCUCACAUCUGGUCCUUUGCCUCACAUACACCAGCUUUGUUCUUACUCUCUUCUUCGUGAAUCUCCACCCAAACAUCUUGUAUAACACCCGUAGACUGUGACACAACUGGUGGCUCAAUCUUUGAGCUGGCUUCCUUUUACUCCCAUCCUGGUUAUUAGGCUUGGACACCAUUCUCUUUCUCCUGCUCGUCACUUUCUUUGACUCAGACAUUCUAGCGAACACUUGUAAGGCAUAAAUAUCUUUGUUCUGAUUUUUAUCUUUUUGUUGCUGCGCUUCUUUUCUCUGUCUAGUGCCCAACCCAUUUCUCAUCUCCUCAGAAAUUAAACGCCAUUGAAUCCUACAUGGUACCUUCCAUCUCUUCUUCUUCUUCCUGAUCUUCCCUUUCUUCACUGCUGAUUGGGUUUUCUGAAGCAGAGCUGGAACUUCUCCUUGUGCGUCUUUCUCACACGACCUCGCAUCUCCUGCUUUCUCAGAUAUGACCAACUGAUUCGCCAUCUCCCCUGUCAUCAGAUCCUUCUCCACCAGUUUUUUCACCGGCGGAUCUUCGUCUUCCGGUUCAGACGAAGUCCGAGAGGGCUCGAUCUUCUGGAUGUUGUUCAUCACCGGCAAGAUUGGCUCUACACGACUUAUCAUGGAUUGGAUCUCCUCCGUCGAAAUACCACUCGCCUUAGCCUCUUCGUUCCAACGCUUCGCCAUCUGCUCCAGGAAUGAGAGUCUGCUCAGCCGCUCUUGGAUUGCCAACACGGCCAGCUCCAGGGAUUUCACUCUGUCCCUAUUUUGCUGCCGUUGCUCCCCAACCUGCGAUGUCAACUCCCUCACCUUCUGUUGCAUUUGUUUCAGCAUAUGAACUCUAUCAGCAUCCAGCGGUGGCAUAUUGUCUCCGGAAUCGAACUGCUCUGAUACCAUUUGUUACGUGAAACGUAACGAGUCUGGUCAAAAGCAAAUGAUCUCAAGAAAACAAGAUAAUAUUCAUAGAAUUAAAGAACUGAGUACAAGGUUCAGAGACGUUCAUGGCGUCUCCUUUCUCUCUUUAACCACUAAAACCCAGAUACCCCCUUUCCCAAAACCCUACAGCUCAUAUAUAGAUAAAGCAUAAAGUUAAAGCAACUAAACCAUGGUUA